UUGAACGCUGGCGGCAGGCCUAACCCAUGCAAGUCGAGCGGUUGAGGGAAGCUUGCUUCCUGAUUCAGCGGCGGACGGGUGAGUAAUGCCUAGGAAUCUGCCUGGUAGUGGGGGACAACGUUUCGAAAGGAACGCUAAUACCGCAUACGUCCUACGGGAGAAAGCAGGGGACCUUCGGGCCUUGCGCUAUCAGAUGAGCCUAGGUCGGAUUAGCUAGUUGGUGAGGUAAUGGCUCACCAAGGCGACGAUCCGUAACUGGUCUGAGAGGAUGAUCAGUCACACUGGAACUGAGACACGGUCCAGACUCCUACGGGAGGCAGCAGUGGGGAAUAUUGGACAAUGGGCGAAAGCCUGAUCCAGCCAUGCCGCGUGUGUGAAGAAGGUCUUCGGAUUGUAAAGCACUUUAAGUUGGGAGGAAGGGCAGUCAGCGAAUACCUUGCUGUCUUGACGUUACCGACAGAAUAAGCACCGGCUAACUCUGUG
RNAcentral lists this ribosomal RNA (483 nucleotides) under uncultured bacterium. RNAcentral describes it as "partial 16S ribosomal RNA". It matches the Rfam family "Bacterial small subunit ribosomal RNA", at positions 30 to 507 of the family's 1533-position model. The record is from RNAcentral.